Molecule: ribosomal RNA, 780 nt
Filed under: Celeribacter sp.
Lineage: Bacteria; Pseudomonadati; Pseudomonadota; Alphaproteobacteria; Rhodobacterales; Roseobacteraceae
Description: bacterial SSU rRNA
Rfam family: Bacterial small subunit ribosomal RNA
Source: RNAcentral
UGCAGUCGAACGAGAUCUUCGGAUCUAGUGGCGGACGGGUUAGUAACGCGUGGGAACGUACCCUUCACUACGGAAUAGUCCCGGGAAACUGGGUUUAAUACCGUAUACGCCCUUCGGGGGAAAGAAUUUCGGUGAGGGAUCGGCCCGCGUUAGAUUAGUUAGUUGGUGGGGUAAUGGCCUACCAAGACUACGAUCUAUAGCUGGUUUGAGAGGAUGAUCAGCAACACUGGGACUGAGACACGGCCCAGACUCCUACGGGAGGCAGCAGUGGGGAAUCUUAGACAAUGGGGGCAACCCUGAUCUAGCGAUGCCGCGUGAGUGAUGAAGGCCUUAGGGUCGUAAAGCUCUUUCGCCUGUGAUGAUAAUGACAGUAGCAGGUAAAGAAACCCCGGCUAACUCCGUGCCAGCAGCCGCGGUAAUACGGAGGGGGUUAGCGUUGUUCGGAAUUACUGGGCGUAAAGCGCACGUAGGCGGAUUAGUCAGUCAGAGGUGAAAUCCCAGGGCUCAACCCUGGAACUGCCUUUGAUACUGCUAGUCUUGAGUUCGAGAGAGGUAAGUGGAAUUCCGAGUGUAGAGGUGAAAUUCGUAGAUAUUCGGAGGAACACCAGUGGCGAAGGCGGCUUACUGGCUCGAUACUGACGCUGAGGUGCGAAAGUGUGGGGAGCAAACAGGAUUAGAUACCCUGGUAGUCCACACCGUAAACGAUGAAUGCCAGUCGUCGGCAAGUAUACUUGUCGGUGACACACCUAACGGAUUAAGCAUUCCGCCUGGGGAGUACGG